UGAGUCGGCCGGGUGAACGCGGCGAUUGAACCACCCCGCCAGCCGGGGUAGGCGAAAGUCGAGGAAAGUCCGGACUCCACAGAGCACGGUGAUUGCUAACGGCAACCCGGGGCGACCUGCGGGCAAGUGCAACAGAAAGUAAACCGCCGCGUCUUUGGCGCGGUAAGGGUGAAACGGUGCGGUAAGAGCGCACCAGCGUCCUAAGUGAUUAGGGCGGCUGGGUAAACCCCACUGGGAGCAAGGCAUCAUGGCCCGUUAAUGGCGGGCUUGAUCAGGUGUUUGAGAGCUGCUCGCUCGAACCUGAAGGUAGCUGCUUGAGGCGUGUUGGCAACGGCACGUUCAGAUGGAUGUUCACCGCCGCGCGGUUUUGCGCGUGGUACAGAAUCCGGCUUAUAGGCUGACUCAUUCG
This is a non-coding RNA of Corynebacterium casei LMG S-19264, 409 nucleotides long. The record is from Rfam. NCBI's taxonomy places the organism in Bacteria, Bacillati, Actinomycetota, Actinomycetes, Mycobacteriales, Corynebacteriaceae.